CCUACGGGGAGCAGCAGUGGGGAAUAUUGGACAAUGGGCGAAAGCCUGAUCCAGCCAUGCCGCGUGUGUGAAGAAGGCCUUCGGGUUGUAAAGCACUUUCAGUGGGGAAGAAAGCCUUGGGGCUAAUACCCUCGAGGAAGGACAUCACCCACAGAAGAAGCACCGGCUAACUCCGUGCCAGCAGCCGCGGUAAUACGGAGGGUGCGAGCGUUAAUCGGAAUUACUGGGCGUAAAGCGCGCGUAGGCGGUCUGAUAAGCCGGUUGUGAAAGCCCCGGGCUCAACCUGGGAACGGCAUCCGGAACUGUCAGGCUAGAGUGCAGGAGAGGAAGGUAGAAUUCCCGGUGUAGCGGUGAAAUGCGUAGAGAUCGGGAGGAAUACCAGUGGCGAAGGCGGUCUUCUGGACUGACACUGACGCUGAGGUGCGAAAGCGUGGGUAGCAAACAGGAUUAGAUACCCCGGUAGUC
RNAcentral lists this ribosomal RNA (465 nucleotides) under Vreelandella stevensii. RNAcentral describes it as "partial 16S ribosomal RNA". It matches the Rfam family "Bacterial small subunit ribosomal RNA", at positions 338 to 795 of the family's 1533-position model. The record is from RNAcentral. Lineage: Bacteria; Pseudomonadati; Pseudomonadota; Gammaproteobacteria; Oceanospirillales; Halomonadaceae.